UACGGGGGGGGCAAGCGUUGUUCGGAAUUACUGGGCGUAAAGGGCUCGUAGGCGGCCAACUAAGUCAGACGUGAAAUCCCUCGGCUUAACCGGGGAACUGCAUCUGAUACUGGAUGGCUUGAGAUUGGGAGAGGGAUGCGGAAUUCCAGGUGUAGCGGUGAAAUGCGUAGAUAUCUGGAGGAACACCGGGGGCGAAGGCCGCAUCCUUGACCAACACUGACGCUGAGGAGCGAAAGCCAGGGGAGCAAACGGG
Molecule: ribosomal RNA, 253 nt
Filed under: uncultured bacterium
Lineage: Bacteria
Description: partial 16S ribosomal RNA
Rfam family: Bacterial small subunit ribosomal RNA
Source: RNAcentral